Homalodisca vitripennis (glassy-winged sharpshooter) is the source of this 1822-nucleotide long non-coding RNA. RefSeq lists it as uncharacterized. The transcript has 3 exons. Lineage: Eukaryota; Metazoa; Arthropoda; Insecta; Hemiptera; Cicadellidae. The record is from RefSeq and is a predicted model, not a curated record.
CUGUAAGCCCUUUGACUUUACAGGUAUCCCCGUGCGGCAAAACGAGUUGGGUUUUCAGCACUGAGGGCUACACUCUACCAGAUAUCGACAGGUUCGUCGGCCACCUUUGCCUAAGUCUCUGCAUGAGUUUGGAGCCAUUCUUGAGUCUGAAGAAUGGAACCACCUUGGCAGGACACUCAUGGUGGAAACAGAACACAAGAAUGUAGUUGGCGGUGAGCAGGAUGGCUAGUAAAGUUACUGGCACCCCGACCUGACGCCAUGUUGAUUUCUACCUUUGGGGAUUCAAAAGAAUUGGCCUCCGCUACCAGCUGACCUACCAGACUUAAGGCACAGCAUUGAAGCAGCUGUUGCAGUAACCACUCCCCAGUCACAUUGAUCAAAGCUUGGGAAGAACUUGGCUAUCGACUUGAUGUGUGGCCUUCUUACGAUUGAAGCUCACAUUGAACACUUGUAAGCUUUUGGCCACCCCAUCUACUGUUGCUCCACUGCCUGCCACACAUACCACUAGGUGCAAGCAAAAUAUUGCAGAUAUUCCUUUGUUUAAAUUAUGUAAAAAUAGUUAUACAGAUAAUAUAUGAUAAAGAAUUUGAUUUGUUCUAUAUUUCUGGUGCAAUUUGAUGCAUAUUAUAACAAAUAAUCACUCACUUUAAAAGUAUCUAUUAAGCCAUGUUGUAUGAAGGCAGAUUCUUUUAAAAGUGAUGGUAGUUUGUCAUUCUUUAAUAGUAGCUGAAAUAUAGAGCAGUGAGAUAACAUAUAAAUUGUAUGUAUAACCACCUUGUUCUUCAACAAUAACAGAGGACAGUGAAAACAGUCCUAAAAAUGAAGAGCCAGAAAAUGUGUACUCUUUCUGAUCACACAGCAAGCUUGACCAGCUGCAGGUUUAUUUUCACUGAAAGUCUGAGUCUGUCAGCAGAAGUGGUGGCCCUGAAAACUUCUUCAUGAUCAUCUUCCUGGAAGCAGUUUACCAAAGUAAAAAAGACUGACUUGAGAUAAACAUCUUAUUAAUUUGUUUUCUCUGUAAUAGUGGAACAAUAAAUUGCCUCCCUUUUUAUUUUUAUAUUUCUAACGAAUAAAUUUCUUAUUUUUUAUCUAUUGUAUGCGUAUUUUAUUUCCAGUUUAUCCAAUUUUCAUUAACUUACCUCUGGUCCCAAUUAAUCUGAAUAAACAAGGUUGUACUGUAUAAGUUUAUAUGUUGGUAUAUGAUAACAUUGAAUGUUUACAAGCAUAAUUUAUAUCUAAUUUAAACCAAACCAAAUUCACGUUUUAAGAAACUUUAAGCCUAUAACUACAGUAAAACACCCGUUAAACGAAAUGGGAAUCAAUUGAUACCCAAGUCAGCUGAAACAGUUGCAUGAUGUUAACGUUUAUAUAAAUAAACUAAGCUAAAUAUUUAAUAUGCCUGUGUAUUACUUACCUUCCCCACUCCUGCUAUCAUUCCUAAAGUAUGACUUUAAAGAAGUUGUUUGUACGUAUUGAUUUCCUCUACUCACGCAUUCUUGUUAUUUUGAGAUGUUAAUUAGGUUAACCAAAAAAUUGGUUUUGUGAAAUGGUCUGUUCUCCCUUUAUUUCAUGAAAACAGAGUUUUACUGUAUUUGUUAUCUUAAAAGAUUUUCAAGAUGAUGGAAUUUCUAAAUUUAUCAAUAUAUACCAUCAAUUUAAGAGUCAUCAUACCAUUUAUGUACAAAUUAACGUACCUACAUAAUAGUGACACUUGUUUUGUAGUGCGGCAUAUCAGUAUUUCUCCUGUUUUCACUGUAAAGGGAUAUUUUUUAAUAUUUAACUGUUACUUUAUUAUUGAGAUUAUAUAACUUAAGUACCAAUA